Long non-coding RNA from Papaver somniferum (opium poppy), 1949 nucleotides. RefSeq lists it as uncharacterized. The record is from RefSeq and is a predicted model, not a curated record. The transcript has 2 exons. NCBI's taxonomy places the organism in Eukaryota, Viridiplantae, Streptophyta, Magnoliopsida, Ranunculales, Papaveraceae.
ACCUAAAUUUCAGAGAAGAAAAUCAUUAACUCUUCUUCUUUAUCGACCCUGUCUGUGAGGGCGGCACCAUGUGAGAUUCAGAGACGAAAUUGGUAUGGGUUUUGAGUAUGUUGUUACAGCUGAUGACUAAGAAGAAUUGAGGAACCAGAGAGAGGAGAAGAUGGAUUUGUUGAUGUUCAGUUUAAAUGGAAGAGAAAUCAGGCGAGAACAUGAGUUAUUGCUGUUGAUAUUUAGGGUUUCAUGGAGAUGAAGAUUUGGUAGUUGAUUCAGAGUUUAAAAGACUAAUUGCGGAUGAAUUACAAAGGGGUUAAACUCAGAUUGAGUUUGGAUUGAUAACUGAAGAUGAUAAGUUAAAACUGUUGCCACUGUUGUUGUUGUGUUGAUGGAACCAGGGUUUUGAAUCUGGGUUGAAAUUGACUGAAAGUGUUCGAAUCUGAAGAAUGGGUUUGGUUGAAUGGAACUGCAGACGGAAAAACAAGGUAUAAUCGAGAAUUUGAGAUGUUGUUGCUCAGUAGGUACUGAAAAUGAUGGUAGAAGCUGGGUGAUUUUCAUGGGUCAGGUGGAAUUGAUGUUGCUCAAGUGUUGAAAUAGAUGAAUGUCUAAGACAGGUACAAAUUGCAGGUGGCAGUGGCUCUGAUUAGAGCAGUUGUUGGUGGUUCAGGGAAAGGAGGAGAAAAUGAGUUGUUGGUGGUACAGAACUGAAGCUGCAAAGUGGUUGAAAUUGGAGUUGUCAUGAUAUAUGAGAAGGUAUGGUGGUGUUAGCUCAAGCUUGAGUUGCGGAAUGGAGAUGAAUGUAUGACUGCAACAGCAGGUGGUACUAAUAUGGCUUGAAAUAGAGCUACAAAGAAUAGGAAUUGGUAUUGCUGCUUGAGGUGUGAGCUGGAGGUCAAAGCAAUGAAUCUCAGAUAAUUUGAGAGGGGUUUGAUUCAGAGAUUGCAGGCUGGUAUAGAUGUAGUUAUGGUGGUGUUUGCAUAAGCUGAGAAGCUGUAAAUGGAGUAAUGGUUUCAGGCAAGAAGCUGCAAGGGAAGCUGCAAUGGAACUGAUGCUGUUGUGCGGUGUUAAAUGGGAUAAGUUGAAAACUGGCUCGGCGACAAAGAAAAGAGAAUUGAAGGCAUUUGAGCAGCAUAGUACAUGAUGUUUCUACAAUGACUUUGAGGUGCUGUGAAGAACAGUUGCAAGCUGGUGAUAUUGAUGCUUGUUGUGAGCAGUAGAAGAAGAAUAGGAAGCUACAGGUGGCCUGUGAUGGUGCAAUGGUUCUGGUAGCUGAUGGCUUUGAAGUGUUGGCUGCAAUGGACCAACUGGGAGUGUGGCAGAAGUAUGGCAAGAGACGAAGCUGCUGGUGGAGUAUGGAGUGACAGAAUGGUGGUAUUACUGAUGAUGAAGCACAAUGAUGGUGCAACAUCAGGUUAUGGCAUGUGCAAUGUUGCAAAGGCACAUGCCUUGACAGCUUUGGCUUAAAACUAAAACAGCUGAGUUAGUUUCUGACUCAGAUCUGAACCUGACUCACCCAUCUAACUCAUAGAUUGUGUUGACCGGUUGACCAACUGUGACCGGUGACUGGUUUGACUUUCUUGGUUACCUGAGGCGAUUUCCGAUGACUUUUACGGCAGAUUUCCGGCCACUGCAUCAAUUCUCCGGCGACAUAUUUUUGGCAAGAUUUUUACAUGGGUUUCUCGCACACGUGGUCUUGUUGGACCACUUGGACUUUGGGCUUUGAAGACCUAGUUUUGGAAAGAUGAAAAUCUACAAAAGGGAAAGUUUCUACUUUCUUGAUAUCACGUAUUUUUCUAUUGGGAGCUUUGGAGAACGACGACUAGGGUUUGCUUUCAUUUUUAUUCUUCUUCAUUUUUAUUAUUGAUUAUGAUGAACUCAAAAGAUAUGAGUAGCUAAACUCAUAUUAUUUGUUAUGGGAUAAAGUGGAUUUCACAAAUGAUAUUUGCAUCUAUGAA